RNAcentral lists this ribosomal RNA (1103 nucleotides) under Staphylococcus aureus. RNAcentral describes it as "partial 23S ribosomal RNA". It matches the Rfam family "Bacterial large subunit ribosomal RNA", at positions 350 to 1461 of the family's 2925-position model. Lineage: Bacteria; Bacillati; Bacillota; Bacilli; Caryophanales; Staphylococcaceae. The record is from RNAcentral.
AUGAAUCAAAGAAGGUAAUAAUCCUGUAGUCGAAAAUGUUGUCUCUCUUGAGUGGAUCCUGAGUACGACGGAGCACGUGAAAUUCUGUCGGAAUCUGGGAGGACCAUCUCCUAAGGCUAAAUACUCUCUAGUGACCGAUAGUGAACCAGUACCGUGAGGGAAAGGUGAAAAGCACCCCGGAAGGGGAGUGAAAUAGAACCUGAAACCGUGUGCUUACAAGUAGUCAGAGCCCGUUAAUGGGUGAUGGCGUGCCUUUUGUAGAAUGAACCGGCGAGUUACGAUUUGAUGCAAGGUUAAGCAGUAAAUGUGGAGCCGUAGCGAAAGCGAGUCUGAAUAGGGCGUUUAGUAUUUGGUCGUAGACCCGAAACCAGGUGAUCUACCCUUGGUCAGGUUGAAGUUCAGGUAACACUGAAUGGAGGACCGAACCGACUUACGUUGAAAAGUGAGCGGAUGAACUGAGGGUAGCGGAGAAAUUCCAAUCGAACCUGGAGAUAGCUGGUUCUCUCCGAAAUAGCUUUAGGGCUAGCCUCAAGUGAUGAUUAUUGGAGGUAGAGCACUGUUUGGACGAGGGGCCCCUCUCGGGUUACCGAAUUCAGACAAACUCCGAAUGCCAAUUAAUUUAACUUGGGAGUCAGAACAUGGGUGAUAAGGUCCGUGUUCGAAAGGGAAACAGCCCAGACCACCAGCUAAGGUCCCAAAAUAUAUGUUAAGUGGAAAAGGAUGUGGCGUUGCCCAGACAACUAGGAUGUUGGCUUAGAAGCAGCCAUCAUUUAAAGAGUGCGUAAUAGCUCACUAGUCGAGUGACACUGCGCCGAAAAUGUACCGGGGCUAAACAUAUUACCGAAGCUGUGGAUUGUCCUUUGGACAAUGGUAGGAGAGCGUUCUAAGGGCGUUGAAGCAUGAUCGUAAGGACAUGUGGAGCGCUUAGAAGUGAGAAUGCCGGUGUGAGUAGCGAAAGACGGGUGAGAAUCCCGUCCACCGAUUGACUAAGGUUUCCAGAGGAAGGCUCGUCCGCUCUGGGUUAGUCGGGUCCUAAGCUGAGGCCGACAGGCGUAGGCGAUGGAUAACAGGUUGAUAUUCCUGUACCACCUAUAAUCGUUUUA